RNAcentral lists this non-coding RNA (185 nucleotides) under Actinomycetes bacterium. RNAcentral's name for it is "Actinobacteria bacterium (groundwater metagenome) 6S RNA". It matches the Rfam family "6S / SsrS RNA". From Rfam's summary of the family: E. coli 6S RNA was the first non coding RNA to be sequenced, but its function was unknown until recently. It consists of 184 nucleotides that fold into an extended hairpin structure with a large single-stranded internal bulge. Lineage: Bacteria; Bacillati; Actinomycetota; Actinomycetes. The record is from RNAcentral.
GGUACUCUAUUUAUAUCGCGACUAGAGUUAAAUUUUUGUGUCAACAAAUUUACAUUGGAAGCCCAAACUCUGACUGCAGCGUAAAUGCCCAUCAUCGAGUGGGACUUAUAAAACAGACAGGAGGCAUCCACCUGCUGAGCGCAGGGCGCAAAAACUUCCUAUAGUUACGACUAAGUGGAGUAUCC